This 682-nucleotide ribosomal RNA is filed under the name Lentinus swartzii. RNAcentral describes it as "eukaryotic LSU rRNA". The stretch from base 249 to 402 matches the Rfam family "5.8S ribosomal RNA". Lineage: Eukaryota; Fungi; Basidiomycota; Agaricomycetes; Polyporales; Polyporaceae. The record is from RNAcentral.
UCCGUAGGUGAACCUGCGGAAGGAUCAUUAUCGAGUUUUGAAACGGGUUGUAGCUGGCCUUCCGAGGCAUGUGCACGCCCUGCUUCAUCCACUCUACACCUGUGCACUUACUGUAGGCUUUCGGGAGCUUCGAAAGCAAAGGUUGAGGUUCGCGCCUCGCUUUUGCCGUAGUUGUUACCGGGGCUUACGUUCACUACAAACCAUUACAAGUAUCAGAAUGUGUAUUGCGAUGUAACGCAUCUAUAUACAACUUUCAGCAACGGAUCUCUUGGCUCUCGCAUCGAUGAAGAACGCAGCGAAAUGCGAUAAGUAAUGUGAAUUGCAGAAUUCAGUGAAUCAUCGAAUCUUUGAACGCACCUUGCGCUCCUUGGUAUUCCGAGGAGCAUGCCUGUUUGAGUGUCAUGAAAUUCUCAACCUAACGGGUUCUUAACUGGACCUGCUUAUGGCUUGGACUUGGAGGCUUGUCGGCUCGUUAGUUCGAGGUCGGCUCCUCUCAAAUGCAUUAGCUUGGUUCCUCUGCGGAUCGGCUUCACGGUGUGAUAAUUGUCUACGCCGCGAACUGUUGAAGCGUUUUAUAGGCCAGCUUCUAAUCGUCUCCUUGCGAGACAAGCUUUCAUCGAACUCUGACCUCAAAUCAGGUAGGACUACCCGCUGAACUUAAGCAUAUCAAUAAGCGGAAGGA